This 305-nucleotide ribosomal RNA is filed under the name uncultured bacterium. RNAcentral describes it as "partial 16S ribosomal RNA". It matches the Rfam family "Bacterial small subunit ribosomal RNA", at positions 508 to 807 of the family's 1533-position model. The record is from RNAcentral.
ACAGCAGCCGCCGCGGUAAUACGAAGGGUGCAAGCGUUAAUCGGAAUUACUGGGCGUAAAGCGUGCGUAGGCGGUGAGUUAAGUCUGCUGUGAAAUCCCCGGGCUCAACCUGGGAAUGGCAGUGGAUACUGGCUCGCUAGAGUGUGUCAGAGGAUGGUGGAAUUCCCGGUGUAGCGGUGAAAUGCGUAGAGAUCGGGAGGAACAUUAGUGGCGAAGGCGGCCAUCUGGGACAACACUGACGCUGAGGCACGAAAGCGUGGGGAGCAAACAGGAUUAGAGACCCCCGUAGUCCCUGUCUCUUAUAC